GAUCCUGGCUCAGGAUGAACGCUAGCUACAGGCUUAACACAUGCAAGUCGAGGGGCAGCAUGAACUUAGCUUGCUAAGUUUGAUGGCGACCGGCGCACGGGUGAGUAACACGUAUCCAACCUGCCGAUGACUCGGGGGAUAGCCUUUCGAAAGAAAGAUUAAUACCCGAUGGCAUAGUUCUUCCGCAUGGUAGAACUAUUAAAGAAUUUCGGUCAUCGAUGGGGAUGCGUUCCAUUAGGUUGUUGGG
RNAcentral lists this ribosomal RNA (247 nucleotides) under uncultured bacterium. Its description in RNAcentral is "partial 16S ribosomal RNA". It matches the Rfam family "Bacterial small subunit ribosomal RNA", at positions 15 to 253 of the family's 1533-position model. The record is from RNAcentral.